This 450-nucleotide ribosomal RNA is filed under the name uncultured bacterium. RNAcentral describes it as "bacterial SSU rRNA". It matches the Rfam family "Bacterial small subunit ribosomal RNA", at positions 29 to 524 of the family's 1533-position model. The record is from RNAcentral.
AACGAACGCUGGCGGCAUGCCUAACACAUGCAAGUCGAACGAAGCCUUCGGGCUUAGUGGCGCACGGGUGCGUAACGCGUGGGAAUCUGCCCUGGGGUGCGGAAUAACUCGGAGAAAUCCGUGCUAAUACCGCAUAAUGUCUUCGGACCAAAGAUUUAUUGCCCUGGGAUGAGCCCGCGUAGGAUUAGCUAGUUGGUGAGGUAAAGGCUCACCAAGGCGACGAUCCUUAGCUGGUCUGAGAGGAUGAUCAGCCACACUGGGACUGAGACACGGCCCAGACUCCUACGGGAGGCAGCAGUGGGGAAUAUUGGACAAUGGGCGAAAGCCUGAUCCAGCAAUGCCGCGUGAGUGAUGAAGGCCUUAGGGUUGUAAAGCUCUUUUACCCGGGAUGAUAAUGACAGUACCGGGAGAAUAAGCUCCGGCUAACUCCGUGCCAGCAGCCGCGGUAAU